This 10990-nucleotide long non-coding RNA is filed under the name Selaginella moellendorffii. Its description in RNAcentral is "long non-coding RNA (SMOE_LNC000290)". Lineage: Eukaryota; Viridiplantae; Streptophyta; Lycopodiopsida; Selaginellales; Selaginellaceae. The record is from RNAcentral.
UCGGGCUCUUCUACGAUCCAGCUUCCGACGUUAGAGUAUCUCCGAUUCCCAAGUUUGUAGACACGGAGCAUCCAGCAGCCUACAACCCUUGCGUGUUUAGAGACUACCUGAAGAACCUCUACUCCAAGAACUUGGUGGGCAAGGAAUUGCUGGAAUCCCAAAGGAAAUAGCCUCGGAAGUGGAUGUUUUCAGGAGUGAGAGUUUGGCAGGUCAAGGUGAUUCUCAGCCUGAAAAGAUGUUUUAAGGUGGCUACUAGUGACCGAACUCCAAUCCAUGUAAUUGUCAUUCUUUUCCUCAUGCUUCAUGAUCUGCUGGAAUGUCAACAAUGUGCUAAUGAGCAUCAAAGACUCUUUCAAGUUCAUUUACUUAUAAUGAAGGUUAUUUGAUACUGAUAAAAGUAAAGGAUGUUAGAAAGCUUCUCUUUCCAUUUAAAAUUCAUGAAAAAGAAAAUGUAGUUCAAAGUUGAAAUUAAAUCUAAGGAAUUCAUAAUAUUUCAGUUAUGUUUUAAUAUUGAUUACAAUGUUUUGAUAUAUUUGGCAAUAGGCAAACAUGGCCUUCAUAUGGUAUUCAGGUCCUUGGAGAAUCCAGGUCUAGAACACUGAAGUGUUAUCAAAUGAAUUUUAGUGUACUUCCUAAAUUUUUUCCGUAAAAACAAGUUGUAAUGAGCAUUCACAAAUCAUUUUUAUAUAAUAAUAAUUAUUAUUAUUAUUUUCUUAAGCAAACACAGUACUGGAUAUAUCUAGAAUAUGCUUGAAUAUUUUGUAUAUACUCUUAAACUAUAAAGUGGAUAUUCUACUAUCGAAGACAGUUCUUAUUCAUUUAUAUUAAUCUUAAUUUAUAAAAUUUCCUAAACACUUUUUAGUAUAUUGGUUUUUGUCUUUUUAGUAUAUUGGUCUUUGUUUCUCAAACUAGUCUGAGAGCUUUCUCUCUGGCAAUCCAUCUUCAUCCUCUCGCCGUCCUUGGUGAGUGUUAGUGAAGAACUUCUUACGAACCUCGAAAGCACAUUGAACGUGGAAUAGUUAAUCUAGAAGCGUAAAAACUUUUCCGUGUAGUUUAGACGAACCUUAGCUGACUAGCGGUUUGAGAAAAGCUUUUUAUACACAUUUUGCAGAAGGGUAGCCGGUCAUCUGUGUUUUUCCAUUCAAUCGCUGUAAGCGUAGGCUACUAUGAUCCUGCUCGCUACCACUGAGGUCAUUUCCGUUUUGAGCAUAAGCCGCGACCAUGGCGUUCCAGGCCACCAGGAGCUGGCUAGAAGACAUGAAAGCAGCGUCAACCUGGUUGCGAGCUUAGCCCCAAGCAUCGAGCAAGCAGCGAGAGCUCCAGCGCAAGUCCGGUUUGAUCCCUGCGGAACUCAUCUCCCUGUAUAGCCGAAUCACUUCCGAGCUAGCUAAGCUGUCAGCAUCGCGUUCCAGCAGUUUGCGCUGGGAUGACUUGCCUGAAAACUUGGCACGUGAGAUCCAGCCUCCUCCGGCACCCUGCGGCAGCCUUCACAGCAGCGUCCGUGAAGACCUUAGAGUAUGACUAUACCUGUCUCCCCUAGGUGUCGCUGGCUUUCAAUCCGAAAUCCUCGUAGAGAUGUCGUUGGUCGAUCUGCCCGCCCUGGGCAUAUGCCGCGAUCAUCAAGUUCCCAUAUUCUGAUCGAGGCCUCUCGCAGCCUCACAGCGCGAAUACAUCUUCAACCCAACGUCCACAACUAUCCCGCUCUGGAAGUCGCCACUGGAAAUCCUGGCACCCAUGCCUAAUCAGCUCGAUCGCCUUGCGUUCUUGGUGGAAGACCUCGAUGGUGUCGUCAAUCUGGCCUAUCGCUGGGGCCCAUAAAAUAUUCUUUUAGUCUCCUCCGCGUUGCGCACUUUUCUGACCAAAUGGUCAAACGUUUAAUUUUAGAGCUCGAAGACUAUUUUCCUUUAGGAACUUUUCUCCCUUGAAUUCCCGUAGAACAGUGUCUGACUAAAAGACAGCUGCCAAUGAAAUAAUGGUGCCUGCGAGCCAAACAAUCUCAGUGGCGUUCAAGGAACAUGGACCUUUAUACUGCAGUGCUUUCAUCUGUUCCAAAUCCGCGAGCGCUUCCACUUGAGCCUCCAAACUCCUGCCCUCUCAUAGGGGUUUCUGUCUCUAGGCCCCAUCGACUAUAACAACGGACAAACAUGAAUGACAGUCCAAUACCACACUAGCAUGUCUUUUAAAUCCAAGAUGGGUUCAGACGAGAAAGUUCCGUCUCCUAGUCUGGUGUAAUCAGAUUCGUGCCUAAUUCUGUUUGUUUCGUCAAUGCUUGAUCAUGCUUGAUCGAUCUUGCUCGAUUGCCGAUGAGAGACUGGAAUGUAUUAGUUUUCUGCAACAAUGUAUUGAUUUAGCAUGAUGCAGAAAUUAAUAUUCAAAUGCCAAACACCUUUUCAAUGUCGUGAGCCUCCAGCUUUUACAAAUUAGAGAUAUCACUCUUAAGCUGCUUGGGCAACGAUUUAUGAUGCGAGCGCGUUGCUGCCAGUUUCGGUAAACACUUGGUUGAUCUUCUGAUCUGUAUGCGUGCACCUGUUAAGAAAAAAAGAACCAAGUUAGAUGCGUAAAAAUAUUUUUAAAAAACCAUCUCCAUUUUCACAAUUGUCAUGGACUUGAGCUUUAACCGUCUGUGGUCAUUGUCAUUGUCAAACCACCUGACUUGGUCACAUGGAAAUUUUCGAUGGUCAAACUGUAGCAUGAAACAAACAAGGUGCUAACCUUCUACAGUGCUGCAACGAAUAAAAAUUGUGGCGACGUGGGGGUCCAGCAAAUUUUAUAUCCUUCCAAUCGUCUAUACCUGUCCGAAUGCUUUGUGUCAAACCUCAACUUCUUGAGGAGAAGAACCACAUCCGAAUAAGUUGCUCUAGCUCGCUCAUGAUUUCCACAAAGAUAUUGUCAGUAUCAAUUCCAAACUGCAAACAAAGUUUAAGUUUCCAGAGAGAUAGAUAGACAUUUUUAUAGUCACCACAGCGCCCGGGACUCUACUACCUCUAUGACUAUUUCUUACUCUCCUUCUCCUCCAUCCAAAACGUUGGACACAGUGAUCAAGCAAUGUAUGGCAAGAAGAAUCUCGGUGGGAACCAGUCCUCCAAGUUUUCGGGUCCUCAAGGUGUCCUUCUAAAGGUGUGCAUUUUUUUUCUAUGCCAUCUUGUUGUCCGUAUACAUGCUCUCUUUCAUCUUCUCUCCAGUUCCAGCCAGUGUUUAUUUAGUCGUCUCUGCGGCUUGUUUCGUCUUGUCUCUCAUCUACAAGAUUCGUCUCAACACCACAUCUUUGAUUCCAGAGUUUUUAUUUACCUGCUGGAGCGUAUUUCCUGAGCAGUGCCUUUCAUGUCCUGCAGAGUCUCCGAAUGAAACGAAGAAGGAGAAUAAACAGAACCUCUUUCUUCUGAUUGGCGUGGAGAGGUUUCUAAGCAUGGAUUUCUUCUUGGUUCCACUGCUGGUUAUUUAAAACUAAUUACCUUUUAUGAUAUAUAUAAAUUAAGCCUCCUUUUGCGAGUAUAAAAGAUCACAAAGAACUACUAGGCCUUUUUCAUUCUUCCAGUCAGUAAAAGGGCAAUAGAGUACAAUUGUCAAAGAGAUUGUUGAAAAAGCACAAGAGGCAUGCCGAAAACAAUAAACUCAAACAUCAUUAGUUUAACAUGAAGCAUAAGAACUAUGAGUCUUCAUUCACACUUUUUGACUUGGAGGCAAGCUUGGAUACUUUGUAUAAAAAACAAUAAAGCACCCCAAGAGGAGGCUUCUUAAAUGGAUGGUCCAUAUAUUAUACUAUAAUAAUUAGUGUAUCAUAUAUAUGUAUAUAUAUGUAUAUGUAUAUUGUAUUUAUAUAUUUUAUAUUUUUAUUAAAAACUGAGUAAAUUUUAAAAUUAUUAUAUUUAUAUAUUAUUACAAAUUUUUAUGUUAUAAAUUAUUUAAUAUUUAAAUUAAACAAAACAUUAAAAAAAUUACUAUUAAUUUUUUAUAGAAAUAGUUAAUAGUUUACAACUGAUUGUAGUUCACUUAUAAACUUUAUGAAAUACAACUAUUAAAAAAUUAUUUCAAUUUUAAUUUAUUAUAACUCUGCUAAUUUUUAAUUUUAUAAUAAGUUAUAAACUAUAACUUAUAACUAUAACGUAGUAUUACUGUUUUAUUUUACAAAUAUUUCAUCAAUCAACUAUACCAAAAAAAUAUUUAUUGUGAGGGCCAAGUGUACGGCUACGAUGCCGUAUACUAAUAUUAGCGUAGUGGGAUUUUGGUAGCCGUCGGAUUGGUUUCAAUCCGGACCACUCGCUCCUGUAUAUAAACUAGAGUUUUUGGGUUAAUUAAUAUGCACAUUUCUAUAUUCCCUUUCCAUAUUCCAUGCACUCACAUUGGUGGAGGUGAGAGGCACCUUUGAUUAUCCCUGGGGAGUGCUUGGAUUUGGGAUUUCAGUUUAGAUCUAGUUUUUCCCAUUUCCUUUCUUUUGUUCUUUCCUUUCAGGAUUUUGGUUUAAAUCUAACUUUUUGCAUUGUCUAGAUCUACCAUUUCUUUCCAGCCUUUUGUCAUUUCUCUUCUUUUGCUCUUUCUUUUUCAUUCAUCUUCAUGGCCGAUCCGCAAUCUCCUCCUUUGACUCUAGAGCAGCAGUUGGUUCAAUUGCUUGAUGUUAUGCGCUUGCAAUUGAACAACCAAACUCAGUUGAUGGCGGCGUUCAUGGCACAUGGUACAACUCCUCCUGCUUUUGGUGCCAAUCCUCGCGUUCGGCCGGAGUUCUUUCGUGGGAAUCCUGGGGAUGAUGUGUACCAUUGGUUUGAUCACUUCACGGUGAUUGCCACAUAUCAUUCUUGGGAUGAUGCUCGACGUUUGCGUGAGUUCCCCAUAUGUCUCCAAGGGACGGCUUUGCAGUGGUACAAUGGAUUGAGCGCAGCCACUCGUGGCGAUUGGAGUGUUCUUCCGGAUGUCUUCAAACGCACCUUCGGCCACGUCGAUGAUUGUGAUGAUGCCUUCCAACAAUUGCAUUGUCUUCGCCAAGGGCCAUCUGAGUCGGUGAUGCAAUUUAGCAUUCGUUUCCGAAGACUUUUGCUUCGUGCGGAGCCAAAUAUGUCGGAGCGGAUCAAGCUAGGAAUGUUGUGGCUAACACUUCGUCAAGAUCUUGUCGGACUUGUGCAUGCACUUGCUCCUGCCACUCUUGACGAUGCUCUUCGCUUGGCACAAUGUUAUGAGACGUCGCCUCUUCCACUUCUUGCUACACGUCCUUCAGCUCCACUUCCUAUGAGUGAUGGUCCUGUUCCCAUGGAAGUUGAUGCUGCUGCUACUCGAGUCCAAGGACAAGGGCAAGGACGUGGUCGUGGCCGUGAUAUUCGUUGCUGGGCGUGUGAUGAAGUUGGUCAUACUUAUCGGCGUUAUCGGCGCUUUCCGGAUUGGCGACCUCCAUUUCUUGGGUGGAGACCUUGGCGUUAGCAACGUCCCAUUGGUGCUGCUGCGGUGGAAGGUUUGGAUACCGAGGUGCAUUCGGGAAACGAGGAGUUGCGCGAGUAAUGGAGGGACCUUGCACGAAUAAAUUAGUGACCCCUCCAUCUUUCUUUCGGGAGUAUCAUCAAGGGGUUCACUCAGCACCGGUUCAUCCAGUGUUUACUUUCCAAGCUCGUUUUUAUAACAAGAGGUCUCCUAUUCUUCUCUCCGUGUUGGUUGAUACAGGUUUGAGUUUAUCUUCUAUUGCUCGACUUGUUGCCACACGUUGUCAUCUACACUUGCGUCAUGCGGCGGAUCCAGUUUUCAUUCUUUAUGGCAACGGCCGUACACAUGCAUGUGCACGAGAUGAGGCGGACCUGGUUGUGCGUGUGGGCGAUCUCGAGCUUGAGUUGCAGUCGUUGCGGGUGGUGCCGAGUCAAGCUUUUGACCUCAUUCUUGGUAUGGAUUGGUUGCAGCGCAAUCAUGCCAAGUGUGACUUUGAGGCUUCUCCCCCUUGUCUUAUACUUCUUUAUGUUUCAUCCAUUCCUCUCACCUCUUCGUCCCUUUACUUCUACCUUUGCUUCCAUUACUUUUGUUCCCCCACUGUUUCCUCUUGUGUUUCCAUCUUGUUCUACUCUUCCCUUUUCUGAUCCCUCUGAUGAUCUUUGUGUUGCAGCUGUUGACCAGCUCAUGAAGGAGUAUUCUGAUCUCUUUGAAUUUGACCUAUCGUCUGGGGCCAAGACUGCCACACGUCAUCCCAUUCCAACCGGGGAUGCUCGUCCAAUCAAGGUUCCUGUUCGUCGUCGGUCACCCAAGGAGAUCAAGAUUUUACGUGCAAACGUCAAGGAGAUGUUGGAGAAGGGUGUUAUUUGGAAGUCGUGGAGUCCUUGGGCAUGUGAACCUCAUCUUGUGACGAAGCCUGAUGGGAGUAUUCGUUUCUGCAUUGACUAUCGUCCGUUAAAUGAAGUGAUGAUCCCGAACGUGUACCCUCUUCCUCACACUGCUGAUCUCUUGGAUCGUUUGGGGCGAAGUCGUUGGUUCACCAAGCUAGAUCUUGCUUCUGGGUAUUGGCAAGUACCGAUGGCCGAAGACGAUAUUCCUAAGACUGCUUUUCGUACACCAUUUGGUUUGUACGAGUUUUUGGUGAUGCCGUUUGGUUUAAACAAUGCUCCAGCAACUUUUCAACGGAUGAUGGACGAGGUUCUUUGCGAUAUGCCGGAGGUGACGUCUGACUUCAUUGAUGAUGUUUUGAUCCACUCGGAGGGGACAUGGGAGGAGCACGUUCGUGAUGUUUGUAAAGUGUUGGAUCGGCUACGCGACGUUAGUUUAAAGCUGAAGCGGUCAAAGUGCGUGUUUGGGUCCAAGGACACAACUUAUCUUGGGUACCGUAUUUUUCGUGAGGGUUUGCAAGUUGAUCCUGACAAACUUGUGGCUGUUCUAAAGUUCCCUAGUCCGAAGUGUGUGAAUGAUGUGCAGCGCUUUUUGGGUAAGGUGCAGUAUCUUGGUCGUUUUGUGGAUCAUCUUUCCGAUCGCACUACACCAUUGCGAGCGUUGCUGAAGUCAUCAACGUCAUCUUUCAUCUGGUCCAGAGCGGAUUCUUUCGGAUAAUGGUCCCGCAUUUAUGGCUGAGGUAUUUCAUGUUUUGACAUCUCAGUUGGGGAUACGCCACACUUUUACGAGUGUUUAUCAUCCACAAUCAGACGGUUUGGUGGAACGGCUCGUUUGGACAUUCAAAGGGAUGAUUGCGAAGUAUGUGAGCUUUCAGCAUUCGGAUUGGGAUAGUUAUUUGCCGUCUCUUUGGUAUGCCUAUGUCACAGGGGUGCAGUUCUGUUGGUGCUUCACCAUAUAAACUUCUAUAUGGUCAUGAUCCAAUAUUACCAACAGAGCUGGGUUUACCUUUGCGAUUGCCACGAGCUCCUGAUACUAGGUCAUGGGAUCAAUAUUUGACAAGCAUUCUUCCACUUGUCCGAGCAGAGUUUGCUGAACACUUAGGCCGCGUACAAGUGGGACAACAACGGCGCUACAAUUCCCAUCAUCGUCCACCUGCGGAGUACAAAGUGGAUGAUUUGGUGUUAGUUCGUUUUCCCCAUCUUGCGGUACGUGGUUUAUCUAAGGGGCUCCUUGCGCAGUGGAAAGGACCGUAUCGGGUGUUACGGCAAGUUGGACCACAAGUUUAUGAGGUUCGGCAUGACGUUCAGCAGGCCGAUCCUCUGGAGAUUGUGCAUGUGCAGCGGUUAAAACGCUUCAUACAAAGGGAUCAAGAGUAGGUAAUACCGUCUACAGAUCCACCAAUGCCUCCUCCUGACGUUCCUCCAGAUCCCGGCCCAUCUACAAGAGAACCCUGACGGCCUUCCAUUAUUCCGAGAGGAGGGGAUGAUGUGAGGGCCAAGUGUAUGGCUACGAUGCCGUAUACUAAUAUUAGCGUAGUGGGAUUUUGGUAGCCGUCGGAUUGGUUUCAAUCCGGACCACUCGCUCCUGUAUAUAAGCUAGGGUUUUUGGGCUAAUUAAUAUGCACAUUUCUAUAUUCCCUUUUCAUAUUCCAUGCACUCACACUGUUAAAUAAAAAUGUAUUCUUUGAUGUUUAACUUGUAAAUUAAUAGUGAAAACACUAAAACUUUAUAGAUAUAUAGAUUGGUAUAAUUGUGUUUAUAAUAUAUAUAUAUAUAUAUAAAUAAAUCAAAAUAAAAAGACUCUUUAUAUAUUAAAAUUUUAAUGAUUAGCUUUUAAUUUUUAGGAACUACAUCUCAGAUUUAGUUUCAAAAUAUUUAACAUUUUAAAUAAUUCUAAAUUCAAGACAAGAAUUGUUUUAAGAACCAUCUUGGUAGUAAUAAUAAAAAUAUAAGCUUCAUAUAUAUAAAUAAAGAGCUUGGCCAAAAAGUCAAUGAAGGUAAAAAAAAACACACGUUUAAAUAAGAUAAUUAAAUGGAUUAUAAUACUUAGUUUUUGUAAAAAGAGUUUAGUAGUACCAACUCAUAUUAUUAUUUAUUUAAAUAGCAUUAAUUUGUGAGUCAUGUUUUCACAAUUAUUUGUAUUUUUUAAAAUAACAAUGAGGUAAUGAGCUGCAAGGAUGGAGUCUCAUAAGAUGGCAUAGAUCCCAUCUUGGUGUCCAAUUGUUGAGGAUGUAAUAAAUAAAUCAUGAAGAAUUAAAGGCAUAGCUUGAUAAAAUCUCAAAUAAUUUUUACUUAAUGCAAAGUUAGGAUUCAUUUAGCUGUGUUUAGUUGUGUCAAUGCAAUGCUGGUCUGUUGCAGGGCAUUUCUAAUUGUAACAUUGAGAGGCAUGGAUGGUAUUUUAAUGCUUGAUAGAAAUUGAUUUUUAUCUGGAUUUUACUUCUUUUUUUUUUUUUUAAGUAUAUGUGGUAUCAAAUAAAUCGUCGAUGUGCAGCCAUAGAGCUCAAGCAGAACCAACCAGACAUAGCACUUCCUUCAAUCAUUAUAUUCGUUUACAUUGGGAAGAAUGCGAAUGUUUUUACUUAAGACCUUGUGCUCCGACUGAAGAAUCAACAAGGACGAUCUGGUAAAAGAAAAAAACAAGCCUGUAACUCAUAUCCUUUCAAAGAAACUCCAUCAACCUUUGGGGACGUGAUCGGCUCUAAUUGCGAUCCUCCUCGAGCUUCAAGGUCUCGUCGGUCGCGUAAACCAUGCAAGCCUGGGACAACACAGCCUGGAGUGAAAAUUUUGCGAAAGACAGUUAAGAAGCAAACCUUGACAUAGUUUGCAUUUGGAAGGCUUGUACUGAUCUCUUCGACAUCGAGAUCUUCGAACGGGUUCUUGACGAGCUGGCUUCCAAACACCGUCUCGUCACAAUCGACCCAUUCGUCCUCGACGUCCGAGAUCACAUCCGGAUCCACUGCCACAGAGAAUUUGAAUGGAUCGAAGCUUUGAAAUAUUUCGAGAUCGACCCUACCAUUCUCUUCGCAGGUUUCCUCCAGAUCUCUCCUCAGUGCGUCCUUGAGACCUUGAUCCAGCGGGCAAUCGAGCCUGUGAAAAGAAAAAAAGAAGCACUGAUCGAGCGGCUUCUUACCAUUUCCGCAUCCAGGACUUGGAAUUCUUGCGGCGAUCUUCAUCACCUUGGUCGGAGUCGGAAUCUUCGCGGCGAUCGAUCGAAGAGCUCGCCGGCCUAGCUUCGCUGCUCUCCCGCUCCAGCCAUAUUCCAAAAUAUUUAGGGCAGAGACGUAAUCUCUCCCGCCCAUUUGUAAGGACUUUCAAUCGAAGCCGUCCAUUUGAUUUUCACUUAAGAAGCAUCUUGAUAGAUUCUCUUUUAUUUUAAAUUGCGUGGCUAUGGCCGCUGGAUGGAACAAGCUAGACGGUGCCAAGGCGCUCGUCGAUAGCGGCAUAGACAGGGUCCCAGAUUUCUAUGUCAAGCCCCUCGAUCAGAGGCUCUCUCCUCAAGAUCUGGCGCUCCACGCCGACGAAAUCCCGGUGAUCGAUGUCUCCCCGCUGCUGGAUUCCAAGCCUACUUCAUCCGAUCGCAGCAAGGAGGACGUAAUCGCCGAGCUGCUGGAUGCGAGCGAGAGAUGGGGCUUCUUCCAGGUAAGAAACUGUGCCGCGUAUGGAAUCGUCUCAAGGAACUGGAUCUAGGUUAUCAAUCACGGCAUCGGCAGUGAUCUCACGCGGCGGAUGCUCGCCGUGGCUCACGAAUUCUUCCAGCUGCCGCUCGCGGAGAAGAUGGUCUCCUAUAGUACGGACAUAGACGCCGCCGUGAGGUACGGCACGAGCGUCAAUCCGCUCAAGGAGGUGUUUCUAGACUGGCAAGACAAUCUUUUGCAUCGAUUUCUACCGGAGCGCCAGGAUCAGCCACAUCCAUGGCCGACCAAACCAAGCUCUUACGAGUAAGUCUAAGUGCUAGACUUGGUUCAUCCAAUUCUCUUGCCUGGUUUUCUCUAAGUUUUCAUGGAUCGUCCAGGUUGAUUGCUGGGGAAUUUGUGGAUCAAGCCAAGUUUCUGGCCCGCCAUCUCCUGCGAGCAUUGUCUGAGGGUCUCGGCUUAGGCCCGGACUAUUUGGAGGGGGAGUUUGGUGAGCACAACGUGGCGCUGCGGCUUAAUUAUUAUCCUCCUUGCCCGAGUCCUGAGCUUGCAAUUGGACUGCGUAGUCACUCCGAUGUUGGUGGUCUCACGAUUCUCUUGCAGGACAGUGAUAUCGUCGGACUCCAAGUGAAGGUCCAGGAGAAGUGGAAGACGGUCAGGUCGGUUCCUGGUGCUCUUGUUAUCAACAUUGGCGACCAGCUUCAGGCAAGCUAGCAAAUAACUUGUAGAAUGGUUGAUAUGUGUGCUUUUCGUCUUUUGGGACAGAUUUAUAGCAAUGGGAAGCUCAAGAGCGUCGAGCACAGAGCGAUCGUAAAUGCCGAUAAAGCUCGGGUAUCAGUCGGGCUCUUCUACGAUCCAGCUUCCGACGUUAGAGUAUCUCCGAUUCCCAAGUUUGUAGACACGGAGCAUCCAGCAGCCUACAACCCUUGCGUGUUUAGAGACUACCUAAAGAACCUCUACUCCAAGAACUUGGUGGGCAAGGAAUUGCUGGAAUCCCAAAGGAAAUAGCCUUGGAAGUGGAUGUUUUCAGGAGUGAGAGUUUGCCAGGUCAAGGUGAUUCUCAGCCUGAAA